RNAcentral lists this ribosomal RNA (253 nucleotides) under uncultured bacterium. RNAcentral describes it as "partial 16S ribosomal RNA". It matches the Rfam family "Bacterial small subunit ribosomal RNA", at positions 524 to 776 of the family's 1533-position model. The record is from RNAcentral.
UACGGAGGGUGCAAGCGUUAAUCGGAAUGACUGGGCGUAAAGCGCACGUAGGCGGUGGUUUUGGUCCGUUGUGAAAGCCCUGGGCUCAACCUGGGAACGGCAAGGGAAACGGAACCACUCGAGUGUAGAAGAGGACCGUGGAAUUCCCGGUGUAGCGGUGAAAUGCGUAGAGAUCGGGAAGAACACCGAUGGCGAAGGCAGCGGUCUGGGUUAACACUGACGCUGAGGGGCGACAGCGUGGGGAGCAAACAGG